CCUGUUAAAUCCACCGAAUUAAUCGUUGGAUUGCGGGGGAUACUGCUUGGCUAGGGGACGAGAGAGGCAGACGGUAUUUCCGGGGUAGGGGUGAAAUCCUAUAAUCCCGGGAAGACCACCAGUGGCGAAGGCUGUCUGCUAGAACGCGCCCGACGGUGAGGGAUGAAAGCUGGGGGAGCGAACCGGAUUAGAUACCCGGGUAGUCCCAGCUGUAAACGAUGCAGACUAGGUGUUUGGACGGCCACGUGCCGUUCUAGUGCCGCAGGGAAGCUGUUAAGUCUGCCGCCUGGGGAGUACGAUCGCAAGAUUGAAACUUAAAGGAAUUGGCGGGGGAGCACCACAAGGGGUGAAGCUUGCGGUUUAAUUGGAGUCAACGCCGGAAAUCUCACCGGGAGCGACAGCAGAGUGAAGGCCAGAUUAAAGGUCUUGCCAGACAAGCUGAGAGGAGGUGCAUGGCCGUCGCCAGUUCGUGCCGUGAGGUGUCCUGUUAAGUCAGGCAACGAUCGAGACCCGCAUCCACUGUUGCUACUAGCUUUGUGCUGGGCACACUGUGGAGACCGCCACUGAUAAAGUGGAGGAAGGAGCGGGCCACGGCAGGUACGCAUGCCCCGAA
This 613-nucleotide ribosomal RNA is filed under the name uncultured archaeon. RNAcentral describes it as "bacterial SSU rRNA". It matches the Rfam family "Archaeal small subunit ribosomal RNA", at positions 541 to 1160 of the family's 1478-position model. The record is from RNAcentral.